RNAcentral lists this ribosomal RNA (118 nucleotides) under Lacrimispora sphenoides JCM 1415. The record is from RNAcentral. RNAcentral also lists the same sequence under 1 other name. Lineage: Bacteria; Bacillati; Bacillota; Clostridia; Lachnospirales; Lachnospiraceae.
UCUGGUGCCGAUGCGCUUAGGGGAGACACCCGUUCCCAUCCCGAACACGAUGGUUAAGACUUAAGCGGCCGAUGGUACUAUGCUGGAAACGGCAUGGGAGAGCAGGUGGGUGCCAGAU